GUUCCGGCUGCUGGCCUCGUGGCGGCGGGUGAGGUUUCUGGAGGUCAGUGAGCAAUCAAAACAAUGAAUGACUGUCUGUGAUUAUUUCUGAAACUGCUGCCUGUGGACUUCAAAGAAUCAAGUCUUCUACACAAGGUCAGGAGCUGCAUAUAUCUCCUAUUAUGACUACCCUCCACAGUCUAGUCAGUUUCGUAUCAGAAACAAACUUGAAGGAUGCUGUGUUGCGGCACACUGCUGGAUGCAAAAGCUCCUGGGAACUCUUUCUUGUAUCCUUUUGCAUUACUGGGCCAAAGUUGUCUAGGUACCUGUUAUGGCUUCAUUCUUAUUUCCAUUUUAGAAUAGAAGAUACACACACUGGAUAACCUAUCUGCUGUUAACAAAAUGAGUCUCAAUUUUCUGAAAAUAAAUCACAAAAUUAAAAGGUAGCGCUUGUGCAGACUGAAUUAACAGUCUGCUACCACCUAGUUCAAGCGGGUUUUCAGGACUGCAUUUGCAUUUCUGUAUAUAUUACGUGAACAAAUUAGUAAUACUGAGAUGUGUUUACUUAUGCAUGCCUGUAGCAAGUUAAUGUGUAAUUUGCUCAUACAUCUGCAUAUACAAUCACUACAAUUACAUUUGCAAAUUAAGUAUGUGUUCAUAUACAUGUGGGAUAUCUGUAUACACAUUUUUUUUACUAUUUGGAUUAUAAUUUUUUUUUAACUGAAUAUUUAUCUUAUUCAUUUAUCCACCAAUUUGCGUAAGUCUUCCUUCUGGGGUGAGAGCUAUUGUAGCCUACAAAUUACUUUGUUCUUAUAUACAGUAGAAAAUAUAUUUGCUGGCAUUUGUAUACCUCUGUCUAUACAUCAACUUUUAUAAUCUGGUAAUGUCAAAACGCUCACACCUUCUCUUCAUUACACUUUCUAUUUCUGAUGGUUAGAGUGCAAAACUCUCCACAGAUGAUAUAUUCCCUCUAGCAGUUUAGCUGUGGCAACAUUGUCUAUCCAGUCAACAGUUUGCUCACUUUUGAGGUACUUUUCUUGUUGACAUUGAAUUCUGUGUUCCUGUAAGUGAUUUACAAUAGCUAACACUACUAGUUCAAAGCUAGACUGGUUUUUCCUACUCUAUACUAAUCAUGAUCCUGAAGGCAUAUGUGAAGAUAGCAGGAGGGGAACAAAAAAAAAAAAGAAGAAUUUAAUGCCACUGGGGUAUGUAUGGACUUACGGUUAGAGUGUUUGGGUUUUUUUGUUUUCAUCUAUUACGAGAAAUUAAUUUCUUGGUGUAUGAUGCUGUGUCAAAGGCAAGGAGAAAAAAAUAAAAAUGAUAGCUGAGGUGAAUAUUAAACUAACAUUACAUUAUUUCUUUUGCUGUGUCAGAGUGUGAGAAUCUGUUACUUGUAGAUCCAUCACAUGGCAGCAAAUGGUGGCAGGUUGCAGCUACAAGUAUGCGGCCUUGAGCCAUGGGGUAAAUCCCUUUGUACAGACACCUAUUGUUGAUGGGUCAUCAACAUUAGUGUCUGUUCCAUAUAUAGAAGUAGUCUCACUACUUAACUUUUCUGCUCAAGGAGCAAAAGGCAGACUAAGACAGAAUGAAGUAGGGAGCACAAGCUCAGCAGAACUGGAGAAGUUAUCAUGGUAGUAGUGUAGCAAGAUGAUGACUGAGAGGCACAUCCCAAAUUCAGUGAAGCUAGAAAGGGACAAGAAGUUGAGAGUGUAAGAGGAGAAUGAUGACGAGUGAGCACAGUAUUGGAGUUGGGAAACAGAGGCUGCCUAAAAAAAGGAUACAAGAAAAGAAAUUUAACUUAUAUACCUUUCCCUGCUCUUCUGUUAACUAGUAUACUUUCAGGGAUUUCAGGUGCAUAACCCCUCACAGCAUAUAACUUAAGUGUGCUGUGGAAGCCCUGCUAUAAUAUUCCUUGAAGUUCUUUAACUGAAGGAAAUUUGGUAAAGAACUUGGGAAAUACUUGUUCACAGCAACCAAAUUCUCAGACAGCAGUAAGUACUGGAAAGUCCACAGCCUUUCAGAGUCAGACUUGGGAAAGAAGAUAUGGGAUUUAGCAUGCUGAGUAAGAAAAAACACAACAUAUAUUCAGACAACAUGGAAAAUAACAAGAAAGUAAAUUUCUCAUAGUGUUGAGAAUCUCUAAGGAUUUAAAACAUGGAUUGUCUUUCCACAAUAACAUGUUCACAGAUGCAAGUGGAAAGCUCUUUGAGUAGGAGUCACAGAGUAGAUUUUUCCUAACCAUGAACAAUGCAGCAAUAUAUGUUUUAAAAGUCAGAGAGGCUUCAGUAUGAUUUUAGGGUAUUCCUGGUUUAGAUUACAUUGAACAGGCACCAACCAUCAGCUUGUAUUUUAGCAGGUUUCAUUUAACUGUUUAUUCCUGGAAACCUAGGCUUCAAAUCUACUGCUUGUCUCAUGUGGGGCCAAGAGUCUAUGUGGGACGCAAAAUCAGCUUAACUUGCUUUUGUAGGUGUCUACUGAUAUACUGCAGGUCAACAUGCUAAUGAUGUUUGAGCAGAGAAAGCAGCUGCUCCAAGCGCAUUUGAAGCCUGAAGCUAUACAGUGACGUCAUGAGAAUCAGUGCUCCCCAGAGAGGAGAUGCAUACAGUUUCACCAUCUUCCCUUUCGCUGUAGAUAACAGGGGUUCCAUAGAUAAUACUCUUUGCUUCUCCUACUUUCUGUUCAUUCUUUCUUUGAGCUUCAGACCAAUAUUUUUCAAAGAUAAAGGUAGGGUGUAGCCCAAAGUAAUUCCAAAAUUUUACUUCAUACAGUGCCUUCCAAAAACCUUGGAAUAUUGAGAUUCUCCCUGCACAGAUUUUAGAGAACUUUCUGAAGAGAGAGAUUUCCUUUGAACACUUGCCAUAAUGUUUCCUUGUGUGCAUUACUGCUUCUGAUUCCCAAAGUAUCUGAGUUACAAUGGUCCUGUUUGAAAAAAUUUAAAACUCUCUUGGGAUAAAAUAGGAGCACUAAUAGUAAAAUACACAUAUUUUAAAAAAUCUGAAAUCCUACAGCUUUAUGAUGGUAAUAGACCCAUUAAACUUGACUUUGCUUGCAGCUUCCACUGAGGAAACAAACUGAGAAAUACACAGGCAGGGGAAUUCAGAGAGCAGGAGUCUUUUCUGAAAGGCAGAAUAGUAUUGAUUACACUUGGCAAGCAUGGAGGUUUUUUAUAUUUUGACUGAAGAGUUAAUUCUUGGGAGCCCAUAGGAGCUGGAUUUAGGCUAUACAUUCCUACAACAGCCUGCCUGACAGCUUGUUUUUGAACACCAUCUUAUCUUUUUUUAAUUAACAAAGGACAAAACAAGAGUAACAGGUCUGAGAACCCAGACACUAAAGGAUCUAAAGGAAGAGAAUUUAUCUGGUGAGGAGAUAGUGAUGCUGUGGUUUUCUGAUGUUGCUUCUUUUCAUCAGGCAGCUCCCCUUUUCUCACCCUGAUGAUGUCCUUGGAAAUACAGACCCUGUUCCGUAAUGUUUUGGUUGAUUUCAUGUCUUGCUUCUCUUUCAUUACUCUUUUGUGAAUCAUUAUUACCAUAACUUUGUUCUGAGCAUAGCUGGGGGGGGGGAAAGU
Long non-coding RNA from Melopsittacus undulatus (budgerigar), 3544 nucleotides. RefSeq lists it as uncharacterized. The record is from RefSeq and is a predicted model, not a curated record. NCBI's taxonomy places the organism in Eukaryota, Metazoa, Chordata, Aves, Psittaciformes, Psittaculidae. The transcript is spliced from 3 exons.